Molecule: ribosomal RNA, 428 nt
Filed under: uncultured bacterium
Lineage: Bacteria
Description: partial 16S ribosomal RNA
Rfam family: Bacterial small subunit ribosomal RNA
Source: RNAcentral
GUGGGGAAUAUUGGGCAAUGGGCGCAAGCCUGACCCAGCAACGCCGCGUGAAGGAAGAAGGCUUUCGGGUUGUAAACUUCUUUUACCAGGGACGAAACAAAUGACGGUACCUGGUGAAUAAGCCACGGCUAACUACGUGCCAGCAGCCGCGGUAAUACGUAGGUGGCGAGCGUUAUCCGGAUUUAUUGGGUGUAAAGGGCGUGUAGGCGGGACAGCAAGUCAGAUGUGAAAACCAGAGGCUCAACCUCUGGCCUGCAUUUGAAACUGUUGUUCUUGAGUGUCGGAGAGGUAAUCGGAAUUCCGUGUGUAGCGGUGAAAUGCGUAGAUAUACGGAGGAACACCAGUGGCGAAGGCGGAUUACUGGACGAUAACUGACGCUGAGGCGCGAAAGCGUGUGGAGCAAACAGGAUUAGAUACCCCAGUAGUCC